Carlito syrichta (Philippine tarsier) is the source of this 546-nucleotide non-coding RNA. NCBI's taxonomy places the organism in Eukaryota, Metazoa, Chordata, Mammalia, Primates, Tarsiidae. The record is from the annotation of a RefSeq genome assembly.
GAGCCUCACUUAACAAAACAUCUCUCCCAUAGAGAAGCCCCUGAUAGCACAGAUCCUCAUCAUGGACUGGAGCUUGAGAUUCCUAUUCUUGGUGGCAGCAGCUACAGGUGUCCACUCCCAGGUCCAACUGGUGCAAUCUGGGGCUGAGGUGAGGAAGCCUGGGGCCUCAGUGAAGGUUUCCUGCAAGGCUUCUGGAUACACCUUCACCAACUAUGAUAUUACAUGGGUGCGACAGGCUCCUGGACAAGGCCUUGAGUGGAUGGGAUGGGUCAACACCAAUAAUGGAAACACAGACUAUGCACAGAAGUUCCAGGGCAGAGUCAAAAUGACCAGGGACACAUCCACAAGCACAGCCUGCAUGGAGCUGAGCAGUCUGAGCCCUGAGGACACGGCCGUGUAUUACUGCGCGAGAGACACAGUGUGAAAACCCACAUCCUGAGAGUGUCAGAAACCCUGAGGGAAAAGGCAGCUGUUCCGGGUUGAGGGGAUGACAGGCAUUCUGAGGUAUUAUAUUGUGUAGAAAAUGAUGUUAUUAUCUUAGAAAAA